UUUCACAGGUCAGUCAGCUGUACGGUUCUGGUUUUACACGUCAACCGAAUAGCGUUACACCAGUGAUAGAGCAAUAAAUGCGGCUGUGCCUUAGCUUCACAGGACUCCACCUGUGGUCACUGUUCUAAUGACCACGCCGGGCAAUC
RNAcentral lists this small nucleolar RNA (146 nucleotides) under Drosophila simulans. RNAcentral's name for it is "snoRNA:GD26667". Lineage: Eukaryota; Metazoa; Arthropoda; Insecta; Diptera; Drosophilidae. The record is from RNAcentral.